This 253-nucleotide ribosomal RNA is filed under the name uncultured bacterium. Its description in RNAcentral is "partial 16S ribosomal RNA". It matches the Rfam family "Bacterial small subunit ribosomal RNA", at positions 524 to 776 of the family's 1533-position model. The record is from RNAcentral.
UACGUAGGGCGCAAGCGUUGUCCGGAAUUAUUGGGCGUAAAGAGCUCGUAGGUGGCUUGUCACGUCGGGUGUGAAAGCUUGGGGCUUAACUCCAGGUCUGCAUUCGAUACGGGCUGGCUAGAGGUAGGUAGGGGAGAACGGAAUUCCUGGUGUAGCGGUGAAAUGCGCAGAUAUCAGGAGGAACACCGGUGGCGAAGGCGGGUCUCUGGGCCGAUACUGACGCUGAUGCGCGAAAGCGUGGGGAGCGAUCCGG